GAUGAACGCUGGCGGCAUGCCUAAUACAUGCAAGUCGAACGAAACUUCUUUAUCACCGAGUGCUUGCACUCACCGAUAAAGAGUUGAGUGGCGAACGGGUGAGUAACACGUGGGCAACCUGCCCAAAAGAGGGGGAUAACACUUGGAAACAGGUGCUAAUACCGCAUAACCAUAGUUACCGCAUGGUAACUAUGUAAAAGGUGGCUAUACUACCGCUUUUGGAUGGGCCCGCGGCGCAUUAGCUAGUUGGUAGGGUAAAGGCUUACCAAGGCAAUGAUGCGUAGCCGAAUUGAGAGGUUGAUCGGCCACAUUGGGACUGAGACACGGCCCAAACUCCUACGGGAGGCAGCAGUAGGGAAUCUUCCACAAUGGGCGAAAGCCUGAUGGAGCAACGCCGCGUGGGUGAAGAAGGUCUUCGGAUCGUAAAACCCUGUUGUUAGAGAAGAAAGUGCGUGAGAGUAACUGUUCACGUUUCGACGGUAUCUAACCGGAAAGCCACGGCUAACUACGUG
Molecule: ribosomal RNA, 512 nt
Filed under: uncultured bacterium
Lineage: Bacteria
Description: partial 16S ribosomal RNA
Rfam family: Bacterial small subunit ribosomal RNA
Source: RNAcentral